Molecule: ribosomal RNA, 449 nt
Filed under: uncultured bacterium
Lineage: Bacteria
Description: partial 16S ribosomal RNA
Rfam family: Bacterial small subunit ribosomal RNA
Source: RNAcentral
AACGAACACUGGCGGCAGGCUUAACACAUGCAAGUCGAACGCAUCCUUCGGGGUGAGUGGCAGACGGGUGAGUAACGCGUGGGAACGUGCCCUUCAGUUCGGGAUAACCCAGGGAAACUUGGGCUAAUACCGGAUACGUGCGAGAGCAGAAAGAUUUAUCGCUGAAGGAUCGGCCCGCGUCUGAUUAGCUAGUUGGUGGGGUAAUGGCCCACCAAGGCGACGAUCAGUAGCUGGUCUGAGAGGAUGAUCAGCCACAUUGGGACUGAGACACGGCCCAAACUCCUGCGGGAGGCAGCAGUGGGGAAUAUUGGACAAUGGGCGCAAGCCUGAUCCAGCCAUGCCGCGUGAGUGAUGAAGGCCUUAGGGUUGUAAAGCUCUUUCGUCCGGGACGAUAAUGACGGUACCGGAAGAAGAAGCCCCGGCUAACUUCGUGCCAGCCGCCGCAGUAA